This 278-nucleotide long non-coding RNA is filed under the name Elaeis guineensis (African oil palm). Its description in RNAcentral is "long non-coding RNA (EGUI_LNC000192)". The record is from RNAcentral. Lineage: Eukaryota; Viridiplantae; Streptophyta; Magnoliopsida; Arecales; Arecaceae.
CAUCACCAUUAUUCUAAUUUUAUUUUAUGACAAUCAUCUGUUAUGAAUCAAGAAACAAUUAUAAAGUAGCAUUUAAAAAAAAAAAAAUAGAAAUCCACCUUAAAAGCUACCUUGUGCAAUUUGCGUCACAAGGACUUCCACUACUAUUCUCAUUAAUCUCGUGGAGCGUCACUAAAUUUCAUCCAUAUCUUUCGAUGUUUAUGGGGCCAAUAUGAAUAUUUUGACUGUCAUGUUAAUUAUUGAGUUUAAAUAAACGUCACCGUCCACGGGAAGGGAGA